AGCAGUCGCCGCGGUAAAACGAAGGGGGCUAGCGUUGUUCGGAUUUACUGGGCGUAAAGCGCACGUAGGCGGAUCCUUAAGUCAGAGGUGAAAUCCCAAGGCUCAACCUUGGAACUGCCUUUGAUACUGGGGAUCUCGAGUUCGGGAGAGGUGAGUGGAACUGCGAGUGUAGAGGUGAAAUUCGUAGAUAUUGGGAAGAACACCAGUGGCGAAGGCGGCUCACUGGACCGACACUGACGCUGAGGAGCGAAAGCGUGGAGAGCGAACAGGAUUAGAUACCCCAGUAGUCCCUGUCUCUUAUAC
This 303-nucleotide ribosomal RNA is filed under the name uncultured bacterium. Its description in RNAcentral is "partial 16S ribosomal RNA". It matches the Rfam family "Bacterial small subunit ribosomal RNA", at positions 507 to 807 of the family's 1533-position model. The record is from RNAcentral.